AGUGAACGGGGGGGGUAGGCCGAGCACAUGCGAGUCGAACGGCAUCACAGUAAGAGCUGGCUCUUACAGGUGGCGAGUGGCGGACGGUUGAGGAAUAAAUCGGAAUCGACUUUUUCGUGGGGGGUAACGUAGGGAAACUUACGCAAAUACCGCAUACGACCUACGGGUGAAAGCAGGGGAUCUUCGGACCUUGCGCGAGUGAAUGAGCCGAUGUCGGAUUAGCUAGUUUGCGGGGUAAAGGCCCACCAAGGCGACGGUCCGUAGCUGGUCUGAGAGGAUGAUAAGCCCCCCUGGAACUGAGCCAAGGUUCAGACCCCUAUGGCAGGCAGCAGUCGGGAAUAUUGGCCCAUGCGCGCAAGCCCGCUCCAGCCCUACCGCGUGGGUGAAGAAGGCCUUCGGCUUGUAACGCCCUUUUGUCGGGAACGACAAGCACCAGGCUAAUACCCCGCUGUUCUGACGGUACCCAAAGAAUAAGCACCGGCUACCCUCGUG
This 492-nucleotide ribosomal RNA is filed under the name uncultured bacterium. RNAcentral describes it as "partial 16S ribosomal RNA". It matches the Rfam family "Bacterial small subunit ribosomal RNA", at positions 29 to 507 of the family's 1533-position model. The record is from RNAcentral.